CUCCUGGAAACGGGUGGUAAUGCCGGAUGCUCCAGUUGAUCGCAUGGUCUUCUGGGAAAGCUUUCGCGGUAUGGGAUGGGGUCGCGUCCUAUCAGCUUGACGGCGGGGUAACGGCCCACCGUGGCUUCGACGGGUAGCCGGCCUGAGAGGGCGACCGGCCACAUUGGGACUGAGAUACGGCCCAGACUCCUACGGGAGGCAGCAGUGGGGAAUAUUGCACAAUGGGCGCAAGCCUGAUGCAGCGACGCCGCGUGAGGGAUGGAGGCCUUCGGGUUGUAAACCUCUUUUAUCGGGGAGCAAGCGAGAGUGAGUUUACCCGUUGAAUAAGCACCGGCUAACUACGUGCCAGCAGCCGCGGUAAUACGUAGGGUGCAAGCGUUAUCCGGAAUUAUUGGGCGUAAAGGGCUCGUAGGCGGUUCGUCGCGUCCGGUGUGAAAGUCCAUCGCUUAACGGUGGAUCCGCGCCGGGUACGGGCGGGCUUGAGUGCGGUAGGGGAGACUGGAAUUCCCGGUGUAACGGUGGAAUGUGUAGAUAUCGGAAAGAAACACCA
Molecule: ribosomal RNA, 550 nt
Filed under: Bifidobacterium longum subsp. infantis
Lineage: Bacteria; Bacillati; Actinomycetota; Actinomycetes; Bifidobacteriales; Bifidobacteriaceae
Description: bacterial SSU rRNA
Rfam family: Bacterial small subunit ribosomal RNA
Source: RNAcentral